AUGCACGCUGGCGGCGUGCCUAAUACAUGCAAGUCGAGCGAACAGACGAGGAGCUUGCUCCUCUGACGUUCGCGGCGGACGGGUGAGUAACACGUGGAUAACCUACCUAUAAGACUGGGAUAACUUCGGGAAACCGGAGCUAAUACCGGAUAAUAUAUUGAACCGCAUGGUUCAAUAGUGAAAGACGGUUUUGCUGUCACUUAUAGAUGGAUCCGCGCCGCAUUAGCUAGUUGGUAAGGUAACGGCUUACCAAGGCAACGAUGCGUAGCCGACCUGAGAGGGUGAUAGGCCACACUGGAACUGAGACACGGUCCAGACUCCUACGGGAGGCAGCAGUAGGGAAUCUUCCGCAAUGGGCGAAAGCCUGACGGAGCAACGCCGCGUGAGUGAUGAAGGUCUUCGGAUCGUAAAACUCUGUUAUUAGGGAAGAACAAAUGUGUAAGUAACUAUGCACGUCUUGACGGUACCUAAUCAGAAAGCCACGGCUAACUACGUG
Molecule: ribosomal RNA, 496 nt
Filed under: uncultured bacterium
Lineage: Bacteria
Description: partial 16S ribosomal RNA
Rfam family: Bacterial small subunit ribosomal RNA
Source: RNAcentral